AACCUAUGAUGAGGACACUAUCUUAAUAAACGUUUGUAUCUAUCUUAUGCUUCAAAUAGUUAUUCUCUAUCUGCCUGAGGAAAAUUUGCAAUACAAUUCCUCAUGUA
Zingiber officinale is the source of this 107-nucleotide small nucleolar RNA. The record is from RefSeq and is a predicted model, not a curated record. NCBI's taxonomy places the organism in Eukaryota, Viridiplantae, Streptophyta, Magnoliopsida, Zingiberales, Zingiberaceae.